GAUGAACGCUGGCGGCGUGCCUAAUACAUGCAAGUCGAGCGAAUGGAUUAAGAGCUUGCUCUUAUGAAGUUAGCGGCGGACGGGUGAGUAACACGUGGGUAACCUGCCCAUAAGACUGGGAUAACUCCGGGAAACCGGGGCUAAUACCGGAUAACAUUUUGAACCGCAUGGUUCGAAAUUGAAAGGCGGCUUCGGCUGUCACUUAUGGAUGGACCCGCGUCGCAUUAGCUAGUUGGUGAGGUAACGGCUCACCAAGGCAACGAUGCGUAGCCGACCUGGGAGGGUGUUCUGCCACACUGGGACUGAGACACGGCCCAGACUCCUUCGGGAGGCAGCAGUAGGGAAUCUUCCGCAAUGGACGAAAGUCUGACGGAGCAACGCCGCGUGAGUGAUGAAGGCUUUCGGGUCGUAAAACUCUGUUGUUAGGGAAGAACAAGUGCUAGUUGAAUAAGCUGGCACCUUGACGGUACUUAACCAGAAAGCCACGGCUAACUACGUGCCAGCCGCCGCCGUAA
This 515-nucleotide ribosomal RNA is filed under the name uncultured bacterium. RNAcentral's name for it is "partial 16S ribosomal RNA". It matches the Rfam family "Bacterial small subunit ribosomal RNA", at positions 28 to 523 of the family's 1533-position model. The record is from RNAcentral.